Molecule: long non-coding RNA, 2414 nt
Organism: Nomia melanderi (Alkali bee)
Lineage: Eukaryota; Metazoa; Arthropoda; Insecta; Hymenoptera; Halictidae
Source: RefSeq, a predicted model, not a curated record
ACAUUUUUAAAACCUCGCCUUACGAAAAGCGACUAAACUAUCGACUUCGCGGAUUCUAGUCUCGCGGUUCCCAAAGGGCACGCUACAGUAUGAUGCGAAAUACUGGUUUUGCUUGAACAGUGCUCGAACGUCAUCGCGGCGUCUAAAUCCCUAGCUAGUCAUGGUGGUGGUCGUUAAAAAGUAGAACAGGAAUACUUGAAGACUGCAAUAGGUUCUGGAAUAGAAGAUUGAAGAAAUAUAGACAGAGACCUGAGGAGGUCGCUGUCUGAUGAUGAAGCAAGUUCUUUGGAGACUAUGCAGUCGGUGGACCGAUGAAGAUGCUGUAGCUUGUCUGUCCUUCCGUUGACGCUACCAGCUCCACUGAUUUCAGAAUCACUGGACUUUCUGCCUCCGGGUUCGAGACCUAAUCUUCUGACCCAGUCCACGCCACCGUGAGGUCCGAUAGUCAAAUGGUGGCUAUAGUUUUCACCACCUGACGCUUCUUGUUCGUUAGGUAGCCACUCUCUUGAACGCCUUCCUGCGAGCGCACGAAGAGUAAUACUACCCCUGGCAAAAAGGGUUCAUCAAACAAACUAAACGUUUGUUAUCAAUAUUUCUUAUAUUAUGGGUCCAGGAAAGUCAAUAGUAAUAGUAACACAACAAUAAGACGUUGAACAUAUUGCCUAUUUGAAAAAGGUAUUAAACAGAUUUCAACAGUUAGCCACUCCACGUCGAAGAUCAUCAAUCUUUUCAUUCCGUCUCUUUAACGAAAGCACACUGUUUCCCACUGUCCACGUGAACUCUCCGCCAAGGGUAGUAAAAGCUGCGUUCACGAAGAAUCAGACACUGAGCAAGACAUAUAAAGGCGAAAAGGAAGAAAGGGACAUAGUCGAACCUCGUUCUCCGCCAGGAAUGGAGCACCUAGGUGAAUUGUGAAGGUCGCGAAUGCUGCCCAUGUUAAUUUCAGUCAGGAAAGGUGUACCUAUAUCGCUGCCGGUUGCGCUGCCUGGUGUCUGGGCAGCGGACGGUGUUUCCGAGAUUCUUGGCACGGAUGCGGCGCUGGGUGUCGGCGGGCUGCUCGGCGUCUGAGUGGUCGAUGCCAGGGUCGGCGUGUCUGGGAGACUGGGCGAGGUCGCAUCUCCGGUGCGAUCGGAAAGCAGUUGUUCUUCGCUCUCUCCGUCUGCUGGACUCACCACGAAUCUCCCUGAGUUCGAGCGAAAUUAAUAGACGGUAGGAGAGAGGACGAGAGAUGAGUGGGCGGACUUCAUGGUGCACCCGAUCAAAGGAGGACGAGGAUGGAUUCGCCGAUGGAUACUGAACCUCGAUGUCCUUAUACUGUUUUAGACUUGUGAUUUAUUUUCUGGGGUUCAAUGUUAACGAUUUGCCAGUUUCUGUACCAACGAAGAAUUUAAUGUGCAAAAUUUAAAGGAACCACUGUUCAAAUAUUAACACUUUUUGCUUAUGUUUUGCAAUAUUGAAUACUUGAUCCUUGCUUUGGAAGAAUGAAGUUUGAACUCUCUUGUGUAAAAUGAUUCUAUAAUCCUUUCUCGAAAUUUAUUUUAAUAUCCUUUUAAAAAAUUACAUUUUUUUGUAACCUUCAACGAAACUUAAACAUAAGAAAUUCUCCAAGGAUCACUUACUGGGUAUUGUAGGUUAAAGUUCAAAGAAAAGAAAGGAAGAAUUCAAGGAAUCCUAAAACUAAUGAUACUAGAUCGACUGAGGAAAUUUUAACACUAGGUUUAUGGACGUUCAUUCCACGGUUUAUUCUAUUGUAGCUAGAAAAAUUGAUGUUAAUUUAUUUAGAUCUUGGAAAUUAGGGAUUUAAGAAUAGACUUUUAGACGUAAAAGUUUAUGAAGUAAUGUUUAUAAAAGAAUUUACGGAUUCACAAAGAAAAUAUAGUACUGUUUACAUUUCAACGUUUAAAAAUUAUUGAUAUAAGUUGACAUUAUUGAGGAUGGUAAAACGUGCAAUUCGGUUCAAUAUCGAUCGGGUAUUGGGUCAGGUUUUUCCUGUUAUCGGAUAAAUAGGUUGACGAAGGUUAACGAAGAACAAUUAAGAGAAAAGAAUUAAUUGGAUUACAAAGUGAGUAACAUCGUAAAUUGCUUACCUAUUACUGUUGCGGGUUGCUGUUCUGGUGACGGAGUUGAAGACAAUCGUCUAACGGCUUCCCUUCUCAGAAAUUCCACCUUGGCCAUUUCAGUGGCCACCCAGUGUGGUAUGUCGGGUAUCGCGCAGAUUAUGAUGAAUCGUAUCGCCAGCAUGAUAUGUUCCAGAGCGACGAUCAACAGUAUCGUCUGCGUGGCAGACAUCUCUGGGAACAUUCGUUGCACCUGACCGCUCAAUCCGAUCAACGCGCAGUUCACCAAUAUGGCGACCAGUCCCAUAGCUUCCAUUGCAUUCUAACAAAUGAAAUGGUUCAAAAUAAACUAUUAAA